CCCGCUGAACUUAAGCAUAUUACUAAGCGGAGGAAAAAAAACUAACAAGGAUUGUCUUAGUAACUGCGAGUGAACCGGCAAAAGCCCAGUCUGGAAAUCGCUUCGGCGAAUUGUACAGUUUAGACAUAAAUCUUAAGCAGAGUGUAGGCGUAACUUGGCUGGAAUGCCAGACCGGAGAAGGUGAUAGUCCUGUGCCGCCUGUGCAAAGCGAAAGAUUGUGUUCCACGAGUCGGACAGUUUGGGAUUGCUGUCCUAAGUGGGAGGUAGACUUCUUCUAAGGCUAAAUACUGACGAGAGACCGAUAGCGAACAAGUACUGUGAAGGAAAGAUGAAAAGAACUUUGAAAAAAGGGUUAAAAUACUUGAAAUCGCUGUGGAGGAAGCUAUGAGCUUGGCUUUGCUGUAAGUGGAACUGCUGGUACGCUGGCAGGGGAGCUUGCAGGAAAACUCAGUAAGUGUCCUGAAUGUGAGCUUCGAAGCUGUUAGCUAGGUCAGCCACAUUCUGAGGCAUUUCCUGAGUAGCUGAGCCCAUUGACCCGUCUUGAAACACGG
Molecule: ribosomal RNA, 551 nt
Filed under: uncultured fungus
Lineage: Eukaryota; Fungi
Description: eukaryotic LSU rRNA
Rfam family: Eukaryotic large subunit ribosomal RNA
Source: RNAcentral